AAUGAACGCUGGCGGCGCGCCUAAUACAUGCAAGUCGAGCGAGAAGACGUAGCAAUACGUUUGUAAAGCGGCGAACGGGUGAGGAAUACAUGGGUAACCUACCCUAGAGUGGGGAAUAACUAGCCGAAAGGUUAGCUAAUACCGCGUACGCUCCUUGGACUUCGGUUCAGGGAGGAAAGCGAUACCGUGGGUAUCGCGCUCUUGGAUGGGCUCAUGUCCUAUCAGCUUGUUGGUGAGGUAACGGCUCACCAAGGCUUCGACGGGUAGCUGGUCUGAGAGGACGACCAGCCACACUGGGACUGAGACACGGCCCAGACUCCUACGGGAGGCAGCAGUGGGGAAUAUUGGACAAUGGGCGCAAGCCUGAUCCAGCGAUGCCGCGUGUGUGAAGAAGGCCUGCGGGUUGUAAAGCACUUUUAGUGGGGAUG
Molecule: ribosomal RNA, 428 nt
Filed under: uncultured bacterium
Lineage: Bacteria
Description: bacterial SSU rRNA
Rfam family: Bacterial small subunit ribosomal RNA
Source: RNAcentral